UACGUAGGGUGCGAGCGUUGUCCGGAAUUAUUGGGCGUAAAGGGCUCGUAGGCGGUUUGUCGCGUCGGGAGUGAAAACCAGGUGCUUAACACCUGGCUUGCUUUCGAUACGGGCAGACUAGAGGUAUUCAGGGGAGAACGGAAUUCCUGGUGUAGCGGUGAAAUGCGCAGAUAUCAGGAGGAACACCGGUGGCGAAGGCGGCAUCCUGGACCGGUAUUGACGCUGAGGCGCGAAAGCUAGGGGAGCAAACGGG
Molecule: ribosomal RNA, 253 nt
Filed under: uncultured bacterium
Lineage: Bacteria
Description: partial 16S ribosomal RNA
Rfam family: Bacterial small subunit ribosomal RNA
Source: RNAcentral